GAGUCAGAGUGGAAGGAACUCAAACGGUGAAGACGCAGAGCGCGGGUGAGCAAUAACUCUCUCUGAAUGGGAAAUUAUCUCCUUUAAUAUAAUAAUUAACCAACUACGGGCAAAUCUUCAAAAUCACAACCAUGAAUGCUGUAAAUGCUGUGCAACUGUUCAUUCUGGUUUGGACCUUUACUGCUGUCUGUCAAGCUGAUGAUGAUUUCAUUGUAAGCUGUGAUGAUGUGACUGGAUCUGUGGGGAAAGAAGUAAAUCUCACCUGCAGCGUCUCUCUGCUGCUCACUGAAUGCAUUAAAAUUUAUAA
Sinocyclocheilus rhinocerous is the source of this 307-nucleotide long non-coding RNA. RefSeq lists it as uncharacterized. The transcript is spliced from 3 exons. The record is from RefSeq and is a predicted model, not a curated record. NCBI's taxonomy places the organism in Eukaryota, Metazoa, Chordata, Actinopteri, Cypriniformes, Cyprinidae.